UGCCAGCAGCCGCGGUAAUACAGAGGGUGCAAGCAUUAAUCGGAGUGACUGGGCGUAAAGGGCGUGUAGGUGGACAGAUAAGUUAUGUGUGAAAUAUCCGGGCUUAACCUGGAGGGGUCAUGUGAUACUGUCUGUCUAGAGUAGAGUAGAGGGAAGUAGAAUUUCCGGUGUAGCGGUGAAAUGCGUAGAGAUCGGAAGGAAUACCAGUGGCGAAGGCGGCUUCCUGGACUCAUACUGACACUGAGGCGCGAAAGCGUGGGUAGCGAACAGGAUUAGAUA
RNAcentral lists this ribosomal RNA (279 nucleotides) under uncultured bacterium. RNAcentral describes it as "partial 16S ribosomal RNA". It matches the Rfam family "Bacterial small subunit ribosomal RNA", at positions 506 to 784 of the family's 1533-position model. The record is from RNAcentral.